AACGCACAUUGCGGCCAUAGGUAUUCCUUUGGCCAUGCCUGUUCGAGCGUCAUUUACACCCUCAAGCCUAGCUUGGUGUUGGGCGUCUGUCCCGCCGUUCUCGCGCGCGGACUCGCCUCAAAGUCAUUGGCGGCGGUCGUGCCGGCCUCCUCGCGCAGCACAUUUGCGCUUCUCGGAGGCCCGGCGGAUCCGCGCUCCAGCAAGACCUUUCACGACUUGACCUCGGAUCAGGUAGGGAUACCCGCUGAACUUAA
RNAcentral lists this unclassified non-coding RNA (254 nucleotides) under uncultured Ascomycota. RNAcentral describes it as "sequence contains 5.8S rRNA gene, ITS2, 28S rRNA gene". Lineage: Eukaryota; Fungi; Ascomycota. The record is from RNAcentral.